This 250-nucleotide ribosomal RNA is filed under the name uncultured bacterium. RNAcentral describes it as "partial 16S ribosomal RNA". It matches the Rfam family "Bacterial small subunit ribosomal RNA", at positions 524 to 776 of the family's 1533-position model. The record is from RNAcentral.
UACGAGGGGGCAAAUGUUGUUCGGAAUCACUGGGCGUAAAGGGAGCGUAGGCGGGUUUCUAAGUCAGGUGUUUAAUCCCGGGGCCCAACCCCGGACAGGCACUUGAACUGGGAAUCUUGAAUAGUGGAGAGGUCAGUGGAAUUGGGGUGUAGCGGUGGAAUGCGUAGAGAUCCCCAAGAACACCAGUUGCGAAGGCGGCUGACUGGACACAUAUUGACGCUGAGGCUCGAAAGCAUGGGGAGCAAACAGG